GAUGAAGAACGUAGCGAAAUGCGAUACUUGGUGUGAAUUGCAGAAUCCCGUGAACCAUCGAGUCUUUGAACGCAAGUUGCGCCCGAAGCCGUCAGGCCGAGGGCACGCCUGCCUGGGCAUCACACGCCGUUGCCCCCCCGCGCCCCGCACCCAACUCUUUGGGAGCGACCGCGGGGCGGGCUGAUGAUGGCCUCCCGUGCGCUCCGCCGCGCGGUUGGCCCAAAUACCGAGUCCCCGGCGACGUGCGCCACGACGAUCGGUGGUUGAGAGACCUCUGUCGCAAGUCGUGCGCGCCCGUCGCGUCACGCGGGCUCGCAUAGCGCCUCGCGCCGUACCCGGUGCGGAGCUUUCAACGCGACCCCAGGUCAGGCGGGGUUACCCGCUGAAUUUAAGCAUAUCAAUAAGCGGAGGA
This 412-nucleotide unclassified non-coding RNA is filed under the name soil metagenome. Its description in RNAcentral is "partial contains 5.8S ribosomal RNA, internal transcribed spacer 2, and large subunit ribosomal RNA". The stretch from base 1 to 122 matches the Rfam family "5.8S ribosomal RNA", at positions 35 to 154 of the family's 154-position model. The record is from RNAcentral.